UGGCUCAGUGGUAGAGUGCUUGCCUCGCAUGCAUGAGGCCUUGGGUUCAAUUCCUCA
This 57-nucleotide transfer RNA is filed under the name Dipodomys ordii (Ord's kangaroo rat). It matches the Rfam family "tRNA", at positions 8 to 63 of the family's 71-position model. Rfam says of the family: Transfer RNA (tRNA) molecules are approximately 80 nucleotides in length. Their secondary structure includes four short double-helical elements and three loops (D, anti-codon, and T loops). Further hydrogen bonds mediate the characteristic L-shaped molecular structure. tRNAs have two regions of fundamental functional importance: the anti-codon, which is responsible for specific mRNA codon recognition, and the 3' end, to which the tRNAs corresponding amino acid is attached (by aminoacyl-tRNA synthetases). tRNAs cope with the degeneracy of the genetic code in two manners: having more than one tRNA (with a specific anti-codon) for a particular amino acid; and 'wobble' base-pairing, i.e. permitting non-standard base-pairing at the 3rd anti-codon position. Lineage: Eukaryota; Metazoa; Chordata; Mammalia; Rodentia; Heteromyidae. The record is from Rfam by way of RNAcentral.